GAAAAACUCAUAAAUUGGGCAAAUGCCGAAGUGAAAUGAAUAAAUACCUAUACUGCCGCGGACUAUGUAAACCCUCAGCAGCAGCCGCCGGCAAAUCUCAAAUAACAAAUGCAAGUGUGGAAUGACUCUGAGUGACUCUCAGAGAGCGGAGAGAAACAGAGGAGAGGAAGAGAUCGAAAUGGCCAAGUGGAAAAUUUUGGCGGGCAGCAGCUAAAAUACGAUUUAGUCGGAGACACCUAAUUAACCAACAAACAAGUCAAAUAUUAACGAAAUAAUGUAAAUGUGAAGUGAGAGCUACUUUUCCCUCCAAUUGGAGUUGUAAGCGCGGGAAAAGGAAUACGAGAAAACCAUAAAUUGGACAAAUGCCGAAGUAAAAUUAAUAAAUAACUACAAAUAUAUGUUCCUGGUCCGUCAGCACUUGGACAUCAAAUUAAAGCUACUAAAACAACAACAAAAACACCUGAGAC
Long non-coding RNA from Drosophila serrata, 467 nucleotides. The record is from RefSeq and is a predicted model, not a curated record. NCBI's taxonomy places the organism in Eukaryota, Metazoa, Arthropoda, Insecta, Diptera, Drosophilidae.